Molecule: long non-coding RNA, 276 nt
Filed under: Parus major (Great Tit)
Lineage: Eukaryota; Metazoa; Chordata; Aves; Passeriformes; Paridae
Description: lncRNA (ENSPMJG00000012711.1)
Source: RNAcentral
ACUCAGGAAUUCUCUGUGGUGACACUCCAAGAUUAAACAACAUUUCAGGAUGCAAAAUUGCUGGUGAUUCAACACAACCGGUUCAGGUUGUGGAGAAGGCAGAUGGAGAACUGUUUAUUAUGGGUGGAGGAUAGCUGACAGCCAAAAGCACUGAGAUUGGUGAGCUUUCAGAGUGAACCAUCAAAAAGCAAAGCACAGCUCAUUUCCUUCUGUUUUAACAAGCAAGUUAGAAGACUAUGUCUGUUUUGGUUUUUUUAUCUGCCUGCACAAAUAAAC